AAAACGACUCUCGGCAACGGAUAUCUCGGCUCACGCAUCGAUGAAGAACGUAGCAAAAUGCGAUACUUGGUGUGAAUUGCAGAAUCCCGUGAAUCAUCGAGUUUUUGAACGCAAGUUGCGCCCGAAGCCAUCCGGUUGAGGGCACGUCUGCCUGGGCGUCACGU
RNAcentral lists this ribosomal RNA (164 nucleotides) under Smallanthus uvedalia. RNAcentral's name for it is "5.8S ribosomal RNA". It matches the Rfam family "5.8S ribosomal RNA". From Rfam's summary of the family: 5.8S ribosomal RNA (5.8S rRNA) is a component of the large subunit of the eukaryotic ribosome. It is transcribed by RNA polymerase I as part of the 45S precursor that also contains 18S and 28S rRNA. Functionally, it is thought that 5.8S rRNA may be involved in ribosome translocation. Lineage: Eukaryota; Viridiplantae; Streptophyta; Magnoliopsida; Asterales; Asteraceae. The record is from RNAcentral.